UUGCCCAAGAGGAAGACCGAAGGGGAUGUUAAAGGAGAUAAAGCCAAGGUGGACACACCUCAGAGAAGAUCCACAAGGUUGUCUGCUAAACCUGCUCCUCCAAAGCCAGAGCCCAAGCCUAAAAAGGCCCCUGCAAAGAAGGGAGAGAAGGUACCUAAAGGGAAAAAGGGAAAAGCUGAUGCUGGCAAGGAGGGGAAUUACCCUGCAGAAAAAGGAGAUGCCAUAACAGACCAGGCCAGGGAAGCUGAAGGUGAUGGAGAGGCCAAGUGA
RNAcentral lists this long non-coding RNA (270 nucleotides) under Homo sapiens (human). RNAcentral describes it as "non-protein coding lnc-VAX2-4:1". The record is from RNAcentral. Lineage: Eukaryota; Metazoa; Chordata; Mammalia; Primates; Hominidae.